AUACGGAGGGUGCAAGCGUUAUCCGGAAUCACUGGGUUUAAAGGGUGCGUAGGCGGAAUAUUAAGUCAGUGGUGAAAGCCUGUCGCUUAACGAUAGAACUGCCAUUGAUACUGAUAUUCUUGAAUUGGGUUGAGGUUAGCGGAAUGUGACAUGUAGCGGUGAAAUGCAUAGAUAUGUCAUGGAACACCAAUUGCGAAGGCAGCUAACUGGGCCUUGAUUGACGCUGAGGCACGAAAGCGUGGGUAGCGAACAGGAUUAGAUACCCUGGUAGUCCACGCCCUAAACGAUGCUAACUCGAUGUUUGGGACUAGAUCUUGAGCAUCCAAGGGAAACCGAUAAGUUAGCCACCUGGGGAGUACGACCGCAAGGUUGAA
This 374-nucleotide ribosomal RNA is filed under the name uncultured bacterium. RNAcentral's name for it is "bacterial SSU rRNA". It matches the Rfam family "Bacterial small subunit ribosomal RNA", at positions 523 to 898 of the family's 1533-position model. The record is from RNAcentral.